This 432-nucleotide ribosomal RNA is filed under the name uncultured Legionella sp. RNAcentral's name for it is "bacterial SSU rRNA". It matches the Rfam family "Bacterial small subunit ribosomal RNA", at positions 445 to 872 of the family's 1533-position model. Lineage: Bacteria; Pseudomonadati; Pseudomonadota; Gammaproteobacteria; Legionellales; Legionellaceae. The record is from RNAcentral.
UUGAUAGGUUAAGAGCUAAUUAACUGGACGUUACCUACAGAAGAAGCACCGGCUAACUCCGUGCCAGCAGCCGCGGUAAUACGGAGGGUGCGAGCGUUAAUCGGAAUUACUGGGCGUAAAGGGUGCGUAGGUGGUUUGAUAAGUUAGUUGUGAAAUUCCUGGGCUCAACCUAGGCACUGCAACUAAUACUGUUGAACUCGAGUAUGGGAGAGGGCAGUGGAAUUUCCGGUGUAGCGGUGAAAUGCGUAGGGAUCGGAAGGAACACCAGUGGCGAAGGCGGCUGCCUGGCCUAAUACUGACACUGAGGCACGAAAGCGUGGGGAGCAAACAGGAUUAGAUACCCUGGUAGUCCACGCCGUAAACGAUGUCAACUAGCCGGUUGGUUAUAUGAAUAUAAUUAGUGGCGCAGCAAACGCGAUAAGUUGACAUCGU